Molecule: ribosomal RNA, 253 nt
Filed under: uncultured bacterium
Lineage: Bacteria
Description: partial 16S ribosomal RNA
Rfam family: Bacterial small subunit ribosomal RNA
Source: RNAcentral
UACGUAGGGGCCUAGCGUUGUCCGGAUUUAUUGGGCGUAAAGAGCUCGUAGGUGGCUCGAUAAGUCGGGUGUUAAACCCCCAGGCUCAACCUGGGGCGCCACUCGAUACUGUCGUGGCUAGAGUCCGGUAGGGGAGCGUGGAAUUCCUGGUGUAGCGGUGAAAUGCGCAGAUAUCAGGAGGAACACCAGCGGCGAAGGCGGCGCUCUGGGCCGGAACUGACACUGAGGAGCGAAAGCGUGGGUAGCAAACAGG